ACCAAUCAUCCAUCUAUCAUGAGGCCUAGAAAGCAGGAAAAAAGUGUUCACUGCAGAUUGUAGAACCAGUCCCUUUUUUAACCCUAUUAUAGUUUUAAACAUGACUCUGACUUAAUCUAACUGGUUCUACAUGCAAAGAAAAGCAGGUCCAUUACAAUACAGACUCACUAUUCAUGUGUGUCACUGGACCUGUUAUUAGUUACCCCAUGGAGAGUAAAAUAAUUGUGGUCUUAAAAUAUGAAAAAGAAAACACCACAGACAAUAUUUUAUGUGGCAUCUUGUGCUUUUUCAUAGAGCAAUUCAUAUUUUCUCUCUAGUUUUUAUAUUAUUAAGACUUACCUUUCCCUCUUACUCUCUUUGUAGAUUUCAGUUAACAUAUUUUAGGGCUGAAAUAAUGGAAAAAGUAGGGAAGCUGUACAUACAUAUCCUGGAAUAAUCAUUCUCUUUCAUUUACCAGUCUUCUUUUCUCUCAUUUUGUAAUUCCAGGUAUUUGAGAAGUACUUCAAUUCAUGGAAAGCAGCUACUUCCUUCACUUACUAGCUGGACACAGUUUGAGGAUUACUGAGUAAAGGUAACUGGAAUCUGGAAUGCUUGGGGACCACCACUGGACUAAGUCAAAUGAAGAAGUUAGAGAAUCAAAUCAAGUUUAACCUACUCUCCUAAAGGCAAGGAAGCCCAAAGUAAAAGGAUAGCAAUAAGAAAAGAAAUAAGUUGAUAAAAUGCUGAAACUCCCUCUGCUUGUGAGAUUAAAAAAAAAAAAAAAUGAUUGCAAUUGGUUAACCAUAAGGCCAACUGGAGUUUGUGCAGAACAAGCUUGCUGAUGUCACAGCUGGAAUUCCUAUCACAUGUUUCAUACUAAAUCCUCUCAAAUUGCAUGAACCCAUGAGUUAGCAUGACGAGAUAACGCACUUGCCCAAGGAUUUUCCAGACUUCCCCGUUUUUUUAUACCAAAUCACCCACUAAUCCCAGAAUCCAUCCCCUAAAUCUUUUCUAAUAAAAAUACUACCAUGAAGCCAGCACAAGGAGACAGAUUUGAGCUUGACUCCUGUCUCUUUGUGAGUUAACUUG
Long non-coding RNA from Sapajus apella (tufted capuchin), 1068 nucleotides. RefSeq lists it as uncharacterized. The record is from RefSeq and is a predicted model, not a curated record. The transcript is spliced from 3 exons. NCBI's taxonomy places the organism in Eukaryota, Metazoa, Chordata, Mammalia, Primates, Cebidae.